Polypterus senegalus (gray bichir) is the source of this 1136-nucleotide long non-coding RNA. RefSeq lists it as uncharacterized. The record is from RefSeq and is a predicted model, not a curated record. The transcript has 3 exons. NCBI's taxonomy places the organism in Eukaryota, Metazoa, Chordata, Cladistia, Polypteriformes, Polypteridae.
UGAAUAAAGUUUAAUGACAAAUUAUUGAAUAUUCUGUAUUUUUAAGGAAAUCUAAUGUCAGAUAUUUAUCCCAUGUAAGUUUAUAGUAGUCACAAGUUUUUGAUACGUUUGGAUCCUACCUUCAUAAUUGUGGAUGUAGCUUGAAACAUAUAGUUUGAAGUCCUCCUCCUUUUUAGCUUGUGAAGUUAGCCAAAAUGUUUGAAUAAUGCGACUUGUGUCAUUUAUUGUAAUUCUGGGCACAUCUUGUCUUGAAAGACAGUGUCUCAUUAUCUGAGAGAAUGGGCCUGAAGGCCUCCUCAGCAGUAACCAAGCCUCUCAUGAACAAAAAAUUUAAAAAACUAGACUAUCCUUUGCUGAGAAGCAUGCUUUAUGGACCUAUGUUUGGCAUCUAACUGAGAAAAGACUGAACCCAAAAUGUUUGAAGAAGUCAAUGAAGUCUAAAGGAGGAAGCACCAUAAUGUGGGGAAGUUCUGUGCUGCAGGAGGAGCAUCUCUCAUACAGCUACAUGGUAAGGUGAAUGCUAGUGUGUAUCAGAACCUCCUUUAACAACAUGCGGUUCCAUCCCUGCGAGCAUCACUCAAUCAGUCAGCCAUUUUUAUGCAUGGCAAUGCCCCUUGCCACAAUGCAAAUGACGGCUUAUGUAUGAUACAUUAGCUUUUACCAGAGGUGUAGGAAAGGGAUCCAAAGAACAUGUUGAGGGCCUCAUCCUCUGGAUGAUCCCCUGAACUUCUUUACCUGUAGUACAGAGGAACUAAGGAAACUGGGAAGGGGUGACUGUUACAAAACUUCCCAAUAAAUUAAAUGAUUGAAUAAUCUGUAGUUAUACUGUAUCAUUCAUACAAUACAAACAAUUCUUAGCACAGAGUACAUAAUUUAUGAAAGAAAGAAACUUUAUUUGUCCCCAAGGGGAAAUUUGCCUUUUUACAGAAGCUCUUUAAAUAAAUAAAUAUAAUUUAUGAAGGACUAGAAACAGAUUGAACAAGUAAUAAAGAACACCACAAAGUUGGUCAGCACAACCCUUAAGAACUCGAGAACUCACUCCAUCUGGUCCCACAGCUUUUCCUAUGUGUAGCAUCCAUAGUUGUCUCAUUACUCUGUCUUCAGCUAUGGACAGUCCACACUGAUAGUCAGAGUUG